This is a small nucleolar RNA of Ailuropoda melanoleuca (giant panda), 132 nucleotides long. Lineage: Eukaryota; Metazoa; Chordata; Mammalia; Carnivora; Ursidae. The record is from Ensembl.
UUCCAAAGUGUUGAGUUCAGUUCAGGGUAGCUUCCCUGUUCUGUUAAUUGAACUUUGGAACAUUGAAACAGGCUAGGAAAAAUGAUUGGAUAGAAAAUAUUAUUCUAUUCAUUUAUCUCCCAGCCUACAAGA